This 224-nucleotide unclassified non-coding RNA is filed under the name uncultured Russula. RNAcentral describes it as "sequence contains ITS2". Lineage: Eukaryota; Fungi; Basidiomycota; Agaricomycetes; Russulales; Russulaceae. The record is from RNAcentral.
CAUUCUCAAACCUUCUUGGUUUCUUGACCAGGGAGGCUUUGGACUUUGGAGGCUUUUGCUGGCUUUCCUUUGUUGGAGCCAGCUCCUCUGAAAUGGAUUAGUGGGGUCUGCUUUACCGAUCCUUGACGUGAUAAGAUGUUUUCUACGUCUUGGGUUUUGCACUCCUGCUUCUAACUGUCUUGCAGAAAGACAAAUGGUCAAGUGAUUGCCACUUGACCCACGAA